AUUGAACGCUGGCGGCAGGCCUAACACAUGCAAGUCGAGCGGAUGAAGGGAGCUUGCUCCUGGAUUCAGCGGCGGACGGGUGAGUAAUGCCUAGGAAUCUGCCUGGUAGUGGGGGAUAACGUCCGGAAACGGGCGCUAAUACCGCAUACGUCCUGAGGGAGAAAGUGGGGGAUCUUCGGACCUCACGCUAUCAGAUGAGCCUAGGUCGGAUUAGCUAGUUGGUGGGGUAAAGGCCUACCAAGGCGACGAUCCGUAACUGGUCUGAGAGGAUGAUCAGUCACACUGGAACUGAGACACGGUCCAGGCUCCUACGGGAGGCAGCAGUGGGGAAUAUUGGACAAUGGGCGAAAGCCUGAUCCAGCCAUGCCGCGUGUGUGGAGAAGGUCUUCGGAUUGUAAAGCACUUUAAGUUGGGAGGAAGGGCAGUAAGUUAAUACCUUGCUGUUUUGACGUUACCAACAGAAUAAGCACCGGCUAACUUCGUG
This 484-nucleotide ribosomal RNA is filed under the name uncultured bacterium. Its description in RNAcentral is "partial 16S ribosomal RNA". It matches the Rfam family "Bacterial small subunit ribosomal RNA", at positions 30 to 507 of the family's 1533-position model. The record is from RNAcentral.